UGUAUAGAGUGGGGUGCUCAUUUUCGCCACAUCUUUUCAUGUUUUCUACAGUUUAUGUUCAGGUUUAAAGGUUUUUGAAGUAUACUGAUAUUUCUAUAUAAAGAUAACUUCAAAAGCAAAAUAUUCUUAAGCUUGAAAACGUGUUUGUUUGAAUAUAAUCAUCUAAAAAGCUAGAUUAAAGGGUGUUCGAAAUUUCCUGAUUUUUUGUCAAUGGGGGACACAUAU
Molecule: long non-coding RNA, 225 nt
Filed under: Mytilus galloprovincialis (Mediterranean mussel)
Lineage: Eukaryota; Metazoa; Mollusca; Bivalvia; Mytilida; Mytilidae
Source: RNAcentral